CAGCCGCCGCGGUAAUACAGAGUGUGCAAGCGUUAAUCGGAAUUACUGGGCGUAAAGCGCGCGUAGGUGGUUUGUUAAGUUGGAUGUGAAAGCCCCGGGCUCAACCUGGGAACUGCAUCCAAAACUGGCAAGCUAGAGUACGGUAGAGGGUGGUGGAAUUUCCUGUGUAGCGGUGAAAUGCGUAGAUAUAGGAAGGAACACCAGUGGCGAAGGCGACCACCUGGACUGAUACUGACACUGAGGUGCGAAAGCGUGGGGAGCAAACAGGAUUAGAUACCCCCGUAGUCCCUGUCUCUUAUAA
This 301-nucleotide ribosomal RNA is filed under the name uncultured bacterium. Its description in RNAcentral is "partial 16S ribosomal RNA". It matches the Rfam family "Bacterial small subunit ribosomal RNA", at positions 509 to 809 of the family's 1533-position model. The record is from RNAcentral.